This 657-nucleotide ribosomal RNA is filed under the name unidentified microorganism. RNAcentral describes it as "bacterial SSU rRNA". It matches the Rfam family "Bacterial small subunit ribosomal RNA", at positions 79 to 749 of the family's 1533-position model. The record is from RNAcentral.
CUUGCUCUGUGGAUCAGUGGCGAACGGGUGAGUAACACGUGAGCAACCUGCCCCUGACUCUGGGAUAAGCGCUGGAAACGGCGUCUAAUACCGGAUAUGAGCUGCGAAGGCAUCUUCAGCAGUUGGAAAGAUUUUUCGGUCUGGGAUGGGCUCACGGCCUAUCAGCUUGUUGGUGAGGUAAUGGCUCACCAAGGCGUCGACGGGUAGCCGGCCUGAGAGGGUGACCGGCCACACUGGGACUGAGACACGGCCCAGACUCCUACGGGAGGCAGCAGUGGGGAAUAUUGCACAAUGGGCGGAAGCCUGAUGCAGCAACGCCGCGUGAGGGAUGACGGCCUUCGGGUUGUAAACCUCUUUUAGCAGGGAAGAAGCGAAAGUGACGGUACCUGCAGAAAAAGCGCCGGCUAACUACGUGCCAGCAGCCGCGGUAAUACGUAGGGCGCAAGCGUUAUCCGGAAUUAUUGGGCGUAAAGAGCUCGUAGGCGGUUUGUCGCGUCUGCUGUGAAAUCCCGAGGCUCAACCUCGGGCCUGCAGUGGGUACGGGCAGACUAGAGUGCGGUAGGGGAGAUUGGAAUUCCUGGUGUAGCGGUGGAAUGCGCAGAUAUCAGGAGGAACACCGAUGGCGAAGGCAGAUCUCUGGGCCGUAACUGACGCUGA